AUGCAUGUCUAAGUAUAAGCAAUUAUACAGCGAAACUGCGAAUGGCUCAUUAUAUAAGUUAUCGUUUAUUUGAUAGUACCUUACUACUUGGAUAACCGUGGUAAUUCUAGAGCUAAUACAUGCUAAAAAUCCUGACUUCGGAAGGGAUGUAUUUAUUAGAUUAAAAACCAAUGCCCUCCGGGGCUCACUGGUGAUUCAUGAUAACUCCUCGAAUCGCACGGCCUUGCGCCGGCGAUGGUUCAUUCAAAUUUCUUCCCUAUCAACUUUUGAUGUUUGGGUAUUGGCCAAACAUGGUUGCAACGGGUAACGGAGGGUUAGGGCUCGACCCCGGAGAAGGAGCCUGAGAAACGGCUACUACAUCCAAGGAAGGCAGCAGGCGCGCAAAUUACCCAAUCCCGACACGGGGAGGUAGUGACAAUAA
RNAcentral lists this ribosomal RNA (421 nucleotides) under Fusarium culmorum. Its description in RNAcentral is "SSU rRNA". It matches the Rfam family "Eukaryotic small subunit ribosomal RNA", at positions 51 to 476 of the family's 1831-position model. The record is from RNAcentral. Lineage: Eukaryota; Fungi; Ascomycota; Sordariomycetes; Hypocreales; Nectriaceae.